This 340-nucleotide ribosomal RNA is filed under the name uncultured bacterium. RNAcentral's name for it is "partial 16S ribosomal RNA". It matches the Rfam family "Bacterial small subunit ribosomal RNA", at positions 338 to 675 of the family's 1533-position model. The record is from RNAcentral.
CCUACGGGAGGCAGCAGUGAGGAAUAUUGGUCAAUGGACGAGAGUCUGAACCAGCCAAGUAGCGUGAAGGAUGACUGCCCUAUGGGUUGUAAACUUCUUUUAUAAAGGAAUAAAACGAGGCACGUGUGCCUUUUUGCAUGUACUUUAUGAAAAAGGCUCGACUAACUCCGUGCCAGCAGCCGCGGUAAUACGGAGGGUCCGAGCGUUAUACGGAUUUAUUGGGGUUAAAGGGAGCGUAGAUGGGUUGUUAAGUUAGUUGUGAAAGUUUGCGGCUCAACCGUAAAAUUGCAAUUGAAACUGGCAGUCUUGAGUACAGUUGAGGUAGGCGGGAUUCGGGGGG